This 139-nucleotide ribosomal RNA is filed under the name Haliotis rugosa. RNAcentral describes it as "partial 18S ribosomal RNA". It matches the Rfam family "Eukaryotic small subunit ribosomal RNA", at positions 1697 to 1829 of the family's 1831-position model. Lineage: Eukaryota; Metazoa; Mollusca; Gastropoda; Lepetellida; Haliotidae. The record is from RNAcentral.
AGUAGUGAGACUUCGGACUGGUACCCGGCGUCCGUUUCGGCGGACGAACAGGAGGGCCGGAAAGACGGUCGAACUUGAUCAUUUAGAGGAAGUAAAAGUCGUAACAAGGUUUCCGUAGGUGAACCUGCGGAAGGAUCAU